Molecule: non-coding RNA, 987 nt
Organism: Callorhinus ursinus (northern fur seal)
Lineage: Eukaryota; Metazoa; Chordata; Mammalia; Carnivora; Otariidae
Source: RefSeq, a predicted model, not a curated record
UUGAAGAAGCCCACGAGGUCAAAACUAUUUUCAUGUUAAGACUAGGAUAUUGCUUUUUCUCAUUCUUGUCUGUCCUUAAUGUGUGGUGGAAUCUUCCAGAAGCUACAUGACAUGUGAUGAUGUCCUCACUCUGGCGGUUAGUAGACUGUGUUUUUGGUGUUUUCAAAAAUUUUGUUUGAAUUUCUAAUAUAGUAAAUACCAAUAAGCUGUACGGACAAAAGCAGAACUCUCUGAGGUUUUCAAUAAUAUUGGAGUGUAAAGGGGUUCUGAGGCCAAAGGGUUUGAGAACUGCUGGUCUGCUACUCGUUGAACAUCUCUGUCCGAGGGAACGUUCAAGCCUGCUCGGCAUGCUUGGUUACUUUAAACCUCUGGUUGAAGGGAUCUCUCACAUCCUUGUACUGCGUUUUCUGCUGCUGAACAUGUGUGGUGUAUGUGCACAAGCACACCAUCAUCCCAAACAGGAUGGUGUGUUCUAGAAGGCAGGGGUGGCCCCUUGAGCCUCUUUACAUACAGUCUCCCAGGUGAAGUUACUCUUGACCUAACAGGGAACAAAAUGGCCGUCCUGGCUAGAUGCGGAGCCCAGAGAAACCUAGGAUCAUGACUUCAAUGAAUUUACUCCCCUGUUUAAGCAACGUUGAGGACCUCCUCGAGCCUGGCACUAGGAAACUUGGAAUGACAAAAAGGUGUGUGCUGGUCAAACCCUACUUUCCCAAUAGCUUCAGAAAGGCCGAGGCAACCAGAAGGAGAGGCAGAGAACUGACCGUCUCCCCCGAGAACCACUGCCUCAUUGACAGACAUUCCAUCGUUUCCGACUUUUCACUAUUACUGCAAUAACCACCGCACUGGCCUGCUAGGCUCGCCUUCACAAAGUGCCACCGACUGGGUGGCUUACUGACAGAAACGGACGGUCUUCCAACUGUGGAACCUAGAAGUUCAAGAUCUGCUGCGUGUGGGGCCGGGGGUGAAACAGAGGGAAAGAAAGACACA